RNAcentral lists this long non-coding RNA (974 nucleotides) under Ananas comosus (pineapple). RNAcentral describes it as "long non-coding RNA (ACOM_LNC007699)". Lineage: Eukaryota; Viridiplantae; Streptophyta; Magnoliopsida; Poales; Bromeliaceae. The record is from RNAcentral.
ACUUGAGUUGAGCUGGAAUACUAUCGGUAGCAAAUGGCCUUCGUUGCCAUCCAUUUGUUUUCGAUGAUGGAGCCUCCAAAUCGACGAUCGGCACCGUUGAAAAUGAUCUAUACCACUUGAAGUAUCUAGAAAUCAAAUUUCAUACUUUUCCGAUAUUAUUUUCUUGUCCAUCAAGUGGGCGUAAAAAUGAAUGGCUAAAAAUGAAUAUUCUCUAAAAAGUGAUGAUAGAAAUUUUGUAAUCAUGAUCGAGAGUAUAGAUCUUGUUCUAAAUAGUUUAAAGAAUUUAGCCAUUGGAUGGAGAGAUGUAGGGUUGAGAUGAUGGUGGUAGGUGGUGGUAGGUGCACUAUAACAGAAUUAGGUUAUAGGGACAUAUGUUUGGGACACUUUUAUGUAAGUGUCCCAUUUAUGCCAAAACAUAAAAAAAAUCUACUAAUCCCUAAAUAUAAAGUCUAAUCCAACAAAAAAUAAAAAGUUACUCUACUCAACCUACCCCACCCAGCCCAUUCGGCCCAAUUACAAACAGAAAAGAAAAAGAAAAGAAAAAUCGAUUACCAUUUCCCCUUCUCCCCUCACUCAUUCGACUGAAAUCCUAGACGAAGAUUCAUUCCUCUCGUCCUCCUCCACCACCGCAGCUAACGAGGUAGAGUUUCAGCGGUUGCUAAAUGCUUAAAUAAAUAUUGGUAAAUUAGCAGCACUUUUUUAUGUUAUAGCGACACUCUUUAACUGUCACUAUAUACCUAGCGACCCCAUAUAUAGCAACACUUUUUAAAAGUGUUGGUAAUUUAGCCAGCAGCACUUUUUUUGACCAGUAUCGAUAUUUAAAAGUGUCGCUAUAGACCGUUUUAAUUUGUUGUAGUGUGGAAUAGUGUUUGAUCCAAAGGCUAUUAGUAAUCCAGAAGUAAAUCCAAGGACUAAAAACUUAGAAGCAUCAAGGGGUUAGUGCUUCUAAAAGUAUUAUAGCUCAAUUAUAUAUA